AAGACAUACUCACUUCAACAGUAAAAUUGGAACAAUAUGGAGAAGCUUGGCUUGGUUCAUGCACCAGGACAACACACAAAUUUAUGAAAUGUUCAAUGUUUUA
RNAcentral lists this small nuclear RNA (103 nucleotides) under Sciurus vulgaris (Eurasian red squirrel). The record is from RNAcentral. Lineage: Eukaryota; Metazoa; Chordata; Mammalia; Rodentia; Sciuridae.